UGUUCUGUGGCAUAGUUGGUUAAAGCACCGGAUUAGCAAUACAGAGUCGUGGGUUCGAAUCGCACCAAAACAA
Aedes albopictus (Asian tiger mosquito) is the source of this 73-nucleotide non-coding RNA. Lineage: Eukaryota; Metazoa; Arthropoda; Insecta; Diptera; Culicidae. The record is from Rfam.